This 518-nucleotide ribosomal RNA is filed under the name uncultured Paraglomus. RNAcentral describes it as "bacterial SSU rRNA". It matches the Rfam family "Eukaryotic small subunit ribosomal RNA", at positions 569 to 1088 of the family's 1831-position model. The record is from RNAcentral. Lineage: Eukaryota; Fungi; Glomeromycota; Glomeromycetes; Paraglomerales; Paraglomeraceae.
AGCAGCCGCGGUAAUUCCAGCUCCAAUAGCGUAUAUUAAAGUUGUUGCAGUUAAAAAGCUCGUAGUUGAACUUCAGGCCUGUCCAGAUGGUCCGCCUUAAUUGGUGUGUACUGUCCUUGGGUGGGUCCUACCUUCUGGCGAAGCGGCAUGGCCUUAAUUGGUUGUGUUGGGGAACCAGGACUUUUACUGUGAAAAAAUUAGAGUGUUCAAAGCAGGCAAAUAUGCUCGAAUACAUUAGCAUGGAAUAAUGGAAUAGGACGAUGGUUCUAUUUUGUUGGUUCUAGGACCGUUGUAAUGAUUAAUAGGGAUAGUUGGGGGCAUUAGUAUUCAAUUGUCAGAGGUGAAAUUCUUGGAUUUAUUGAAGACUAACUACUGCGAAAGCAUUUGCCAAGGACGCUUUCAUUAAUCAAGAACGAAAGUUAGGGGAUCGAAGACGAUCAGAUACCGUCGUAGUCUUAACCAUAAACUAUGCCGACUAGGAAUCGGGCGACGUUGACAAAAUGACUCGCUCGGCACCU